CCUACGGGAGGCAGCAGUAGGGAAUAUUGCGCAAUGGGCGAAAGCCUGACGCAGCAACACCGCGUGAAUGUUAAGCCCUUCGGGGUGUAAAGAUCUGUCAAGAGGGACGAAUUUUGACUGUACCUAUAAAGGAAGAACCGGUUAACUCCGUGCCAGCAGCCGCGGUAAUACGGGGGGCGCAAGCGUUGGCCGGAAUCAUUGGGGGUAAAGCGUUCGUAGGCGGCAAGGUAAGUCUGAUGUUAAAGCCCGGGGCUCAACGCCAGUUCGGCAUUGGAUACUAUCUAGCUAGAAUGUGAUAGAGGUAAAGGGAAUUCCUGGUGUAGCGGUGAAAUGCGUAGAUAUCAGGAGGAACAUCGGUGGCGAAGGCGCUUUACUGGACCAUUAUUGACGCUGAGGAACGAAAGCCAGGGGAUCAAAUGGGAUUAGAUACCCCAGUAGUC
This 440-nucleotide ribosomal RNA is filed under the name uncultured bacterium. RNAcentral describes it as "partial 16S ribosomal RNA". It matches the Rfam family "Bacterial small subunit ribosomal RNA", at positions 338 to 795 of the family's 1533-position model. The record is from RNAcentral.